This 441-nucleotide long non-coding RNA is filed under the name Elaeis guineensis (African oil palm). RNAcentral's name for it is "long non-coding RNA (EGUI_LNC064246)". The record is from RNAcentral. Lineage: Eukaryota; Viridiplantae; Streptophyta; Magnoliopsida; Arecales; Arecaceae.
GGUAUCCAUACAGAAAUGUUUUGAUCAGAACUCUAAAACCCCUGAGGUGCUAGCUCCCUUGCAGGCUUCGUUUUUCAGCUUGAAUCAGGGUCCUUUACUUGAAUCUACUUGAUAUAGCCUUGUAUAGGAUCUUAGGGAUUGAUCCUAACCAUCAAGAAAAAUCAAAAAAUCUUUUCUUAAUUUUUUUUCUCUCUCAAAGGAUCUCUCUCUAGAUCUAAUCUAGAAGUAGAAUAGGCAUGGAAAAGAGAGGGCAAAAAGAGUUGGCAUGGAGGAUGAAGGGAGGGGAUAAGGUAGUUGGCACAAAAAUCAAAUCUUACAUCUACAUGCCCAAACCAACCCCCUUUAAAUAUUUGUCACACAAAAUUAAGUCCCUUUCUAUAUUUAUAACUAAUUCUAAUCAGAUUAGGAUCAGUUUAAAAUCUGUUAGCCUUAUCCCUAUCA